RNAcentral lists this non-coding RNA (26 nucleotides) under Homo sapiens (human). The record is from RNAcentral. Lineage: Eukaryota; Metazoa; Chordata; Mammalia; Primates; Hominidae.
GGCAAGGAGAAGCCGAUACCCAAAAC